AUAGGGGAGCCGGAGGGAAACCGAGUCUUAAUUGGGCGUUAAGUUGCAGGGUAUAGACCCGAAACCCGGUGAUCUAGCCAUGGGCAGGUUGAAGGUUGGGUAACACUAACUGGAGGACCGAACCGACUAAUGUUGAAAAAUUAGCGGAUGACCUGUGGCUGGGGGUGAAAGGCCAAUCAAACCGGGAGAUAGCUGGUUCUCCCCGAAAGCUAUUUAGGUAGCGCCUCGUGAAUUCAUCUCCGGGGGUAGAGCACUGUUUCGGCUAGGGGGCCAUCCCGGCUUACCAACCCGAUGCAAACUGCGAAUACCGGAGAAUGUUAUCACGGGAGACACACGGCGGGUGCUAACGUCCGUCGUGAAGAGGGAAACAACCCAGACCGCCAGCUAAGGUCCCAAAGUCAUGGUUAAGUGGGAAACGAUGUGGGAAGGCCCAGACAGCCAGGAUGUUGGCUUAGAAGCAGCCAUCAUUUAAAGAAAGCGUAAUAGCUCACUGGUCGAGUCGGCCUGCGCGGAAGAUGUAACGGGGCUAAACCAUGCACCGAAGCUGCGGCAGCGACRCUSAKGYGUYGUUGGGUAGGGGAGCGUUCUGUAAGCCUGCGAAGGUGGCCUGUGAGGGUUGCUGGAGGUAUCAGAAGUGCGAAUGCUGACAUAAGUAACGAUAAAGCGGGUGAAAAGCCCGCUCGCCGGAAGACCAAGGGUUCCUGUCCAACGUUAAUCGGGGCAGGGUGAGUCGACCCCUAAGGCGAGGCCGAAAGGCGUAGUCGAUGGGAAACGGGUUAAUAUUCCCGUACUUGGUGUUACUGCGAAGGGGGGACGGAGAAGGCUAUGUUGGCCGGGCGACGGUUGUCCCGGUUUAAGCGUGUAGGUGUGUGUUCCAGGUAAAUCCGGUUCACUUUAACACUGAGGCGUGAUGACGAGGCACUACGGUGCUGAAGCAACAAAUGCCCUGCUUCCAGGAAAAGCCUCUAAGCAUCAGGUAACAUCAAAUCGUACCCCAAACCGACACAGGUGGUCAGGUAGAGAAUACCAAGGCGCUUGAGAGAACUCGGGUGAAGGAACUAGGCAAAAUGGUGCCGUAACUUCGGGAGAAGGCACGCUGACACGUAGGUGAAGUGAUUUACUCAYGGAGCUGAAGUCAGUCGAAGAUACCAGCUGGCUGCAACUGUUUAUUAAAAACACAGCACUGUGCAAACACGAAAGUGGACGUAUACGGUGUGACGCCUGCCCGGUGCCGGAAGGUUAAUUGAUGGGGUCAGCGCAAGCGAAGCUCCUGAUCGAAGCCCCGGUAAACGGCGGCCGUAACUAUAACGGUCCUAAGGUAGCGAAAUUCCUUGUCGGGUAAGUUCCGACCUGCACGAAUGGCGUAAUGAUGGCCAGGCUGUCUCCACCCGAGACUCAGUGAAAUUGAACUCGCUGUGAAGAUGCAGUGUACCCGCGGCAAGACGGAAAGACCCCGUGAACCUUUACUAUAGCUUGACACUGAACAUUGAGCCUUGAUGUGUAGGAUAGGUGGGAGGCUUUGAAGUGUGGACGCCAGUCUGCAUGGAGCCGRCCUUGAAAUACCACCCUUUAAUGUUUGAUGUUCUAACGUGGACCCGUGAUCCGGGUUGCGGACAGUGUCUGGUGGGUAGUUUGACUGGGGCGGUCUCCUCCUAAAGAGUAACGGAGGAGCACGAAGGUUGGCUAAUCCUGGUCGGACAUCAGGAGGUUAGUGCAAUGGCAUAAGCCAGCUUGACUGCGAGCGUGACGGCGCGAGCAGGUGCGAAAGCAGGUCAUAGUGAUCCGGUGGUUCUGAAUGGAAGGGCCAUCGCUCAACGGAUAAAAGGUACUCCGGGGAUAACAGGCUGAUACCGCCCAAGAGUUCAUAUCGACGGCGGUGUUUGGCACCUCGAUGUCGGCUCAUCACAUCCUGGGGCUGAAGUAGGUCCCAAGGGUAUGGCUGUUCGCCAUUUAAAGUGGUACGCGAGCUGGGUUUAGAACGUCGUGAGACAGUUCGGUCCCUAUCUGCCGUGGGCGCUGGAGAACUGAGGGGGGCUGCUCCUAGUACGAGAGGACCGGAGUGGACGCAUCACUGGUGUUCGGGUUGUCAUGCCAAUGGCACUGCCCGGUAGCUAAAUGCGGAAGAGAUAAGUGCUGAAAGCAUCUAAGCACGAAACUUGCCCCGAGAUGAGUUCUCCCUGAGACUU
Molecule: ribosomal RNA, 2186 nt
Filed under: Salmonella enterica
Lineage: Bacteria; Pseudomonadati; Pseudomonadota; Gammaproteobacteria; Enterobacterales; Enterobacteriaceae
Description: partial 23S ribosomal RNA
Source: RNAcentral